ACGAGUGGCGGACGGGUGAGUAAUGUCUGGGAAACUGCCUGAUGGAGGGGGAGUAACUACUGGAAACGGUAGCUAAUACCGCAUAACGUCGCAAGACCAAGAGGGGACCUUCGGGCCUCUUGCCAUCGGAUGUGCCCAGAUGGGAUUAGCUAGUAGGUGGGGUAACGGCUCACCUAGGCGACGAUCCCUAGCUGGUCUGGGAGGAUGACCAGCCACACUGGAACUGAGACACGGUCCAAACUCCUACGGGAGGCAGCAUG
Molecule: ribosomal RNA, 260 nt
Filed under: uncultured bacterium
Lineage: Bacteria
Description: partial 16S ribosomal RNA
Rfam family: Bacterial small subunit ribosomal RNA
Source: RNAcentral